This 618-nucleotide ribosomal RNA is filed under the name Cortinarius clandestinus. RNAcentral's name for it is "eukaryotic LSU rRNA". It matches the Rfam family "Eukaryotic large subunit ribosomal RNA", at positions 1 to 618 of the family's 3401-position model. The record is from RNAcentral. Lineage: Eukaryota; Fungi; Basidiomycota; Agaricomycetes; Agaricales; Cortinariaceae.
GUGACCUCAAAUCAGGUAGGACUACCCGCUGAACUUAAGCAUAUCAAUAAGCGGAGGAAAAGAAACUAACAAGGAUUCCCCUAGUAACUGCGAGUGAAGCGGGAAAAGCUCAAAUUUAAAAUCUGGCAGCCUUUGGCUGUCCGAGUUGUAAUCUAGAGAAGUGCUAUCCGCGCUGGACCGUGUACAAGUCUCCUGGAAUGGAGCGUCAUAGAGGGUGAGAAUCCCGUCUUUGACACGGACUACCAGGGCUUUGUGAUGUGCUCUCAAAGAGUCGAGUUGUUUGGGAAUGCAGCUCAAAAUGGGUGGUAAAUUCCAUCUAAAGCUAAAUAUUGGCGAGAGACCGAUAGCGAACAAGUACCGUGAGGGAAAGAUGAAAAGAACUUUGGAAAGAGAGUUAAACAGUACGUGAAAUUGCUGAAAGGGAAACGCUUGAAGUCAGUCGCGUUGUCCAGGGAUCAACCUUGCUUUUGCUUGGUGCACUUYCUGGUUGACGGGUCAGCAUCAAUUUUGACUGUUGGAAAAAGAUCAAGGGAAUGUGGCAUCUCUGGAUGUGUUAUAGCCCUUGGUUGCAUACAAUGGUUGGGAUUGAGGAACUCAGCACGCCGCAAGGCCGGGUUU